GCAGACACACUCUGUUCUUUGCUGCUUACUCCAGCCUGGGACUUUUUCUGUCUGCUACAUAAACACGCAGAAUGUAACACGAUUAGCUUGGCUAAAAGUCUGCUGGUGUUGCAUUUUUCUACAUUUCG
Molecule: small nucleolar RNA, 128 nt
Organism: Xiphophorus maculatus (southern platyfish)
Lineage: Eukaryota; Metazoa; Chordata; Actinopteri; Cyprinodontiformes; Poeciliidae
Gene: SNORA77B
Product: small nucleolar RNA SNORA77
Source: Ensembl